Molecule: ribosomal RNA, 439 nt
Filed under: uncultured bacterium
Lineage: Bacteria
Description: partial 16S ribosomal RNA
Rfam family: Bacterial small subunit ribosomal RNA
Source: RNAcentral
CUACGGGAGGCUGCAGUGAGGAAUAUUGCACAAUGGGGGGAACCCUGAUGCAGCAACGCCGCGUGGAGGAUGACGCAUUUCGGUGUGUAAACUCCUUUUAUAUGUCAAGAAAAUGACGGUAGCAUAUGAAUAAGCACCGGCUAACUCCGUGCCAGCAGCCGCGGUAAUACGGAGGGUGCAAGCGUUACUCGGAAUCACUGGGCGUAAAGGACGCGUAGGCGGGUUGGAAAGUCAGGCGUGAAAUCCUACAGCUUAACUGGAGAACUGCACUUGAAACUUCUAAUCUAGAGUAUGGGAGGGGGAGAUGGAAUUAGUGGUGUAGGGGUAAAAUCCGUAGAUAUCACUAGGAAUACCUAAAGCGAAGGCGAUCUCCUGGAACAUUACUGACGCUAAGGCGUGAAAGCGUGGGGAGCAAACAGGAUUAGAUACCCUAGUAGUC